Non-coding RNA from Cinara cedri, 217 nucleotides. Lineage: Eukaryota; Metazoa; Arthropoda; Insecta; Hemiptera; Aphididae. The record is from the annotation of a GenBank genome assembly.
AAUUUGUAAAACUUAUUCACUCCUUUGUAUACUCGCGGUAUAAUAAUUUUUUAAUCCAGCCAAAAAUUCAACCGAAAAUAUCUAAUCGACAUUGGUAUUGAUUAGCUAAGGUUUUUUUAGUUGGAUUGUACUAGAAGGAUUUUUUUCCAUAUUCCCGGUUGUUGUUUUUUUUGACAAUAGGGAAAAAAUUACGGUACAUUUGUUUUGGAUGAAAUCU